RNAcentral lists this ribosomal RNA (508 nucleotides) under uncultured bacterium. RNAcentral describes it as "partial 16S ribosomal RNA". It matches the Rfam family "Bacterial small subunit ribosomal RNA", at positions 28 to 507 of the family's 1533-position model. The record is from RNAcentral.
GACGAACGCUGGCGGCGUGCCUAAUACAUGCAAGUCGAACGCUUCUUUCCUCCCGAGUGCUUGCACUCAAUUGGAAAGAGGAGUGGCGGACGGGUGAGUAACACGUGGGUAACCUACCCAUCAGAGGGGGAUAACACUUGGAAACGGGUGCUAAUACCGCAUAACAGUUUAUGCCGCAUGGCAUAAGAGUGAAAGGCGCUUUCGGGUGUCGCUGAUGGAUGGACCCGCGGUGCAUUAGCUAGUUGGUGAGGUAACGGCUCACCAAGGCCACGAUGCAUAGCCGACCUGAGAGGGUGAUCGGCCACACUGGGACUGAGACACGGCCCAGACUCCUACGGGAGGCAGCAGUAGGGAAUCUUCGGCAAUGGACGAAAGUCUGACCGAGCAACGCCGCGUGAGUGAAGAAGGUUUUCGGAUCGUAAAACUCUGUUGUUAGAGAAGAACAAGGACGUUAGUAACUGAACGUCCCCUGACGGUAUCUAACCAGAAAGCCACGGCUAACUACGUG